AUUCGUAUAGUUUAUAUUUUAAAACACUUUAUUUUCAAUAAAGAGAAGAAUUAAAUUCUUCGAAUA
This 66-nucleotide transfer RNA is filed under the name Ectrychotes andreae. Its description in RNAcentral is "tRNA-Glu". The record is from RNAcentral. Lineage: Eukaryota; Metazoa; Arthropoda; Insecta; Hemiptera; Reduviidae.